Molecule: ribosomal RNA, 497 nt
Filed under: uncultured bacterium
Lineage: Bacteria
Description: partial 16S ribosomal RNA
Rfam family: Bacterial small subunit ribosomal RNA
Source: RNAcentral
UAUGAACGCUGGCGGCGUGCCUAAUACAUGCAAGUCGAGCGAACGGACGAGAAACUUGCUUCUCUGAUGUUAGCGGCGGACGGGUGAGUAACACGUGGAUAACCUACCUAUAAGACUGGGAUAACUUCGGGAAACCGGAGCUAAUACCGGAUGAUAUUUUGAACCGCAUGGUUCAAAAGUGAAAGACGGUCUUGCUGUCACUUAUAGAUGGAUCCGCGCUGCAUUAGCUAGUUGGUAAGGUAACGGCUUACCAAGGCAACGAUGCAUAGCCGACCUGAGAGGGUGAUCGGCCACACUGGAACUGAGACACGGUCCAGACUCCUACGGGAGGCAGCAGUAGGGAAUCUUCCGCAAUUGGCGAAAGCCUGACGGAGCAACGCCGCGUGAGUGAUGAAGGUCUUCGGAUCGUAAAACUCUGUUAUUAGGGAAGAACAUAUGUGUAAGUAACUGUGCACAUCUUGACGGUACCUAAUCAGAAAGCCACGGCUAACUACGUG